GUUUACUUCUUUCUCCUCCUACCUCUCUCUUCUCUCUUUGUUCCCAUUGCAAGUUCCGCUUCUUCAUUGGUUAUCUGCUGCACUGGCUGUGCUCUCGGUGGUUCAAUUAGACCUCGCCGCGAGCUGGUUUUGGGUCGAAACCAUCGGUUCGGCUCAAUUCAGGUUUGAAAAUAAUUUUAAUUUGAAAUGUUUUCAAUUUUAGAAUGAUUUUGGUUUGAC
This 219-nucleotide unclassified non-coding RNA is filed under the name Hevea brasiliensis (rubber tree). Lineage: Eukaryota; Viridiplantae; Streptophyta; Magnoliopsida; Malpighiales; Euphorbiaceae. The record is from RNAcentral.